AUGGCUCAGGAUUAACGCUGGCGGCGUGCCUAACACAUGCAAGUCGAACGGAAUAUCUUCGGAUAUUUAGUGGCGAACGGGUGAGUAAUGUACAGGUAAUGUACCUUCGUACUGCGAAUAACAAGCUGAAAAGUUUGCUAAUACGGAAUAGUUUCCUUCGAGGGCAUCCUUAAAGGAAUAAAGAUUUAUCGUGCGGAGAUCAGCCUGUAUCCUAUUAGUUAGUUGGUGGGGUAAUGGCCUACCAAGACGACGAUGGGUAACUGGUCUGAGAGGAUGAGCAGUCACGUUGGAACUGAGAAACGGUCCAAACUCCUACGGGAGGCAGCAGUGAGGAAUUUUGCGCAAUGGGGGAAACCCUGAACCGCAGCAACGCCGCGUGAGUGACGACGGCCUUCGGGUUGUAAAGCUCUGUCGUGUGUGACGAGUAGGGACGGUAACACACAAGGAAGCCUCGGCUAACUACGUGCCAGCCGCCGC
This 477-nucleotide ribosomal RNA is filed under the name uncultured bacterium. RNAcentral's name for it is "bacterial SSU rRNA". It matches the Rfam family "Bacterial small subunit ribosomal RNA", at positions 19 to 518 of the family's 1533-position model. The record is from RNAcentral.